GCCAUGCAAGUCUCAGUACAUGCCUAACUAAGGUGAAACCGCAAAAGGCUCAUUAAAUCAGUUAUGGUUCCUUGGAUCUUAAACAGUUACUUGGAUAACUGUGGUAAUUCUAGAGCUAAUACAUGCAAACAAGUCCCGACCAGAGAUGGGAGGGACGCUUUUAUUAGAUCAAAACCGAUCGGCGUCCGGUUUCGGCCGGCGCCGUCUCUUUUGGUGACUCUGGAUAACUUUUAGCCGAUCGCACGGUCACAGUACCGGCGACGCAUCUUUCAAAUGUCUGACUUAUCAACUGUCGAUGGUAGCCUCUGCGCCUACCAUGGUUGUAACGGGUAACGGGGAAUCAGGGUUCGAUUCCGGAGAGGGAGCCUGAGAAACGGCUACCACAUCCAAGGAAGGCAGCAGGCGCGCAAAUUACCCACUCCCGGCACGGGGAGGUAGUGACGAAAAAUAACGAUACGGGACUCAUCCGAGGCCCCGUAAUCGGAAUGAGUACACUUUAAAUACUUUAACGAGUACCAAUUGGAGGGCAAGUCUGGUGCCAGCAGCCGCGGUAAUUCCAGCUCCAAUAGCGUAUAUUAAAGUUGUUGCGGUUAAAAAGCUCGUAGUUGGAUCUGUGUGCCACGCUGUCGGUUCACCGCCUGUCGGUGUCAACUGGCAUGUCUGUGGGACGUCCUGCCGGUGGCGGUACGGGCUGCCGGCGCUGCGUAGGGGCUCGCCCCCGAAGCACGCCGGCGUGUCCCGGUCCGCCGAUCCAAUCCCGCCGCGGUGCUCUUCACUGAGUGUCGAGGUGGGCCGGCACGUUUACUUUGAACAAAUUAGAGUGCUCAAAUCAGGUCGUAUUUAGGCCUGAAUACUG
Molecule: ribosomal RNA, 856 nt
Filed under: Meimuna opalifera
Lineage: Eukaryota; Metazoa; Arthropoda; Insecta; Hemiptera; Cicadidae
Description: SSU rRNA
Rfam family: Eukaryotic small subunit ribosomal RNA
Source: RNAcentral